This 479-nucleotide ribosomal RNA is filed under the name uncultured bacterium. RNAcentral describes it as "bacterial SSU rRNA". It matches the Rfam family "Bacterial small subunit ribosomal RNA", at positions 33 to 507 of the family's 1533-position model. The record is from RNAcentral.
GACACGCUGGCGGCGUGCCUAACACAUGCAAGUCGGACGGAUCAGGGAUGACAGCUUGCUGUAGUUCCUGGUUAGUGGCGGACGGGUGAGUAACGCGUGAGGACCUACCCUGGAGAGGGGGAUAACGGCUGGAAACGGCUGCUAAUACCCCGUAAGCCGGAGGGUGAAAGGGAGCGAUCUGCUCCGGGGCGGCCUUGCGUCCUAUCAGCUAGUUGGUGGGGUAAUGGCCUACCAAGGCGAAGACGGGUAGCCGGCCUGAGAGGGCGACCGGCCACACUGGAACUGAGACACGGUCCAGACUCCUACGGGAGGCAGCAGUGGGGAAUAUUGGGCAAUGGGCGAAAGCCUGAUCCAGCCAUGCCGCGUGCAGGAAGAAGGCCUUCGGGUUGUAAACUGCUUUAGUCUAGGAAAAAGGGGUGCGAGGUUAAUACCCUCGUGCUUUGAUGGUACUGGAAGAAUAAGCACCGGCUAACUACGUG